AUACCUUUCUCGGCCUUUUGGCUAAGAUCAAGUGUAGUAUCUGUUCUUAUCAGUUUAAUAUCUGAUACGUGGACCAAUGGUUCACACGAUAUUAAAUUAAUUUUUUUGCGGGGAGAGUCCACAACAGUAGCUUGCUAUUGGGGCUCUCAAGCGUCGCCCAAGUGUUGCAGUACUGCAUGGGCCUGGCGUACCCCAC
Small nuclear RNA from Prunus persica (peach), 196 nucleotides. It matches the Rfam family "U2 spliceosomal RNA". From Rfam's summary of the family: U2 is a small nuclear RNA (snRNA) component of the spliceosome (involved in pre-mRNA splicing). Complementary binding between U2 snRNA (in an area lying towards the 5' end but 3' to hairpin I) and the branchpoint sequence (BPS) of the intron results the bulging out of an unpaired adenosine, on the BPS, which initiates a nucleophilic attack at the intronic 5' splice site, thus starting the first of two transesterification reactions that mediate splicing. The record is from Rfam. NCBI's taxonomy places the organism in Eukaryota, Viridiplantae, Streptophyta, Magnoliopsida, Rosales, Rosaceae.